Long non-coding RNA from Homo sapiens (human), 1437 nucleotides. The record is from Ensembl. Lineage: Eukaryota; Metazoa; Chordata; Mammalia; Primates; Hominidae.
GGAACUGUCAUGCGGGCUGACAGCUGGCACACCCUCCUGUCGCCCUCCACCCGCCUGCAGAAAGCCCACUCCCUACAGUCACCUUGACAUUGCUCACCUGCCUGGGCCUCAGCCCAUGACCAAGGAAACUUUUGCCCUCCCUCCCCAGGAGCUCACUUACAGGCCAUCUUCAAAGGUACUGCCUACCUGAACCUGCCUUGUCCCAAAGGACACACUUCAAUCUGGGGAGAGUUUAAAGUUGUAGACAUAUCCAUUUUCAUUUAAGGAAUAUGAAGAUCAGGGAGGCAAAAUAUAGAGAUAUAGAGAGGAAAAACUGAGAGAUGAUCAGAAAUUCAGACGCAUUCGGAAUGAGCACCCUUGACCAUACCAAGAACAAAGACUCUAUAAAAAUGUGAAGUCUUAUUAUUGUUCAUCCAUGUUCUACGUGGGAUCCACCCAAGACAUUGAAAACUGUACAGAACAGGGUGAAAUUGAAUCAGAUCAUUCUGUACUCCUAACAAGGUCCACCCCAUGAGAGACUUGCAGCAGAAUUAAUGACACUGUAUAUUUUCCUCUACUAACAACAACAAGAACAACAACAACAACAAUCUAGGAAAAUCAAAGGCAGCCCGACAUGGAAAAAAACACAAAAUGAAUAUUUGGAUUACAAAUAGUGUGAUGGGAAGAACACACUGCCAAAAGUCCACCUAGUAUGUUGAAAUUACUGUUUCUAGCACAUAUAAGAUUUGCUGCCAAUUUGUACUGACUUCUGAAAAAUACUUUAUCCAUUGUCUUCUUACAUCAGAAUCAACUCCCUAAAUUCUUCAGCACUGGCUUUGUAAACUGGUUUCUGGUCUUUGUUUCUGUCAACUUACCUAUAAAAGGAUACAAAAACUGAAGAACAGAGAGGAGCAGAUACCCUGGAAAGCCGAAAGUUUUAUUGACCAAAGACUGAGUCUCGGAAUGUUUUGAUUGUGGAGUUUAUAGAGUUCAGGCUGAAGUUUUAUAAAAAUAACUUGCAGCAGCAUGGAGGACUGAUGAGAAAGUAGACAGAUGCUGGAAGCAGGAAAACUGAACAGCAGGUCACUGGCCAAGGAGAAUCAAAGAGCUAGAUGCUGAGAAUAAUGCAGCCAUAACGUGAAAUCUUUUUGAGACCACUCACUCUGGGAGAAAGCAACUGGCUAUGUCAUGAGGAAAUUGAAACCACCUAUGGAGAAAGGCCCACAUGGUGAGAAAGUAAAGCCUCUUCCCAAUACCAAAAUUCUGUAAGUCUGCUACGGUGACAUUUCUGGUUAGGAGUCAGAGUGGAUGGGACACUGAGCAAUAAGGAUACAAGAUGUCAACAUAAAUCGAAGAUGUCACCACAGAUUUUCUAGACAAAGUAGCUGUGCUUUGAAUUUAAUAAGACUACACAAUAAAGGAAGAAAUAUUAUUUAUACUCAUCCAGACAAAAUAUUA